This 378-nucleotide ribosomal RNA is filed under the name uncultured archaeon. Its description in RNAcentral is "bacterial SSU rRNA". It matches the Rfam family "Archaeal small subunit ribosomal RNA", at positions 94 to 473 of the family's 1478-position model. The record is from RNAcentral.
UAACACGUGGACAACCUGCCCUUAGGUUGGGUAUAAACCCGGGAAACUGGGUAUAAUACCCGAUAGGUCUCGAUUGCUGGAAUGCAUCGAGAUUUAAAGCUCCGGCGCCUAAGGAUGGGUCUGCGGCCUAUCAGGUAGUAGUGGGUGUAGCGUACCUACUAGCCUACGACGGGUACGGGUUGUGAGAGCAAGAGCCCGGAGAUGGAUUCUGAGACACGAAUCCAGGCCCUACGGGGUGCAGCAGGCGCGAAAACUUUACAAUGCUGGCAACAGCGAUAAGGGAACCUCGAGUGCCAGGUUACAAAUCUGGCUGUCGAGAUGCCUAAAAAGCAUUUCAUAGCAAGGGCCGGGCAAGACCGGUGCCAGCAGCCGCGGUAA